RNAcentral lists this long non-coding RNA (1278 nucleotides) under Oreochromis niloticus (Nile tilapia). Its description in RNAcentral is "lncRNA (ENSONIG00000030794.1)". The record is from RNAcentral. Lineage: Eukaryota; Metazoa; Chordata; Actinopteri; Cichliformes; Cichlidae.
AUGUUUGGUAUUGACUCUACGGCUUUUUAUGCUCUUGCCACUUUUUCAUUGUUAACCUUGGUUUCAUGUGCUUCAGAUUUCCUGGACCUUCUUUGUUAUCACCCUCAACCCCAGCUCUCCUUGGAUUAUCUUCAUAUUCAGGAAGAAUACAAGGACCCUCACCUGCCUGCCCUCCAGCCUCACUCACCACCUUGGACACAGCGGAACUCAGACGCAACCGCUCCGUUCCCGUCGCAACCUGCUAAAUCCCCGUUCACUCCCACUGACCCACGGUUACAUCGUUAGCAACGCCUUGUCACAAAUUCACUUGUUGACUAAAUAAUAAACACUGCAAAACGUUUGAGCCGUCUCUGUUUGUGGUUUUCUGCAAUCAAGUCCAAUUUAGCUAUCGGCCCGUGGCCACUGUGACACAUAAGAAGAUCAUUUGUAACCUUCACUAAAGCUGUUUCUGUGCUGUGAUGAGCUCUGAAACCUGACUGAAACUCUUCAAAUAAGCCAUUCCUCUGCAGAUGAUCUGUUAGCUGUUUGACAACUACUCUUUCAAGGAUGUUUGAUAUGAAAGGAAGGUUGGAGAUUGGCCUAUAAUUAGCUAAGACAGCUGGGUCUAGAGAUGCUCUUUAAGUAAAGGUUUAACUACAGCCAGCUUGAAGGCCUGUGGUACAUAGCCGAUUAUUAGAGAUAGGUUGAUCAUAUUUAAGAUUUUUUUAAGAUUGAAGCAUUAAUCAAUGGCAGGACUUCUUUGAGCAGUUUUGUAGGAAUGGGGUCUCAAAGUAGGAAUGGGGUCUAAAUCUUCUGAGGGUACUUCACAUAGUCGUGGUCUCUAGCUGUGAGAGCAGUUCUUUCUUCCGAAAGUUGGAACACUGAGCUACUAGUUAUGUUGCUGUCAAUCUGGAUGCUGGGUAUCGAAGAUUCCAUAGGUCCCUCAUCCUAUUCAUGUAGCCCAGUUCUCAUCAGUGUGUCCUGGUUCCUCAACACCGUGCGACGUCAAGCCAGUAUGGUUUCAUUUAGCAGCUGGAUAGGGUAGUGGUAAGACUACACGUCAUUUUGUAAUGGGAGUUGUGGGUUAAACUCCUGACCAGGGCAUCUGUAAGAAAUCAAGGAUACAAACCCCUAUACUAAAAUAUACUUACCUUAUAUACUAGAAUAUAAAUUUCAAGAGUAAAGAAUGAAAUCCGAACAGGAGUAAACCCUCUGUCUAUUAUCAACGAAUGAAUAAUUUAAACCAAUCAUAAAACACCUAAUAGUAAGCAAGAGUAUAAAGUACUUAAAAAAACCUUC